UACGUAGGGGCCGAGCGUUACCCGGAUUUACUGGGCGUAAAGUGCGCGUAGGCGGGGCUCUAAGUCGGGCGUGAAAGCCCCGGGCUCAACUCGGGGAGGCCGCUCGAUACUGGAGCCCUUGAGGGCGGGAGAGGGUGGUGGAAUUCCCGGUGUAGCGGUGAAAUGCGUAGAGAUCUGGAGGAAUACCGGUGGCGAAGGCGGCAUCCUGGACCAAGACUGACGCUGAGGCGCGAAAGCGUGGGGAUCAAACAGGAUUAGAAACCCCAGUAGU
Molecule: ribosomal RNA, 271 nt
Filed under: uncultured bacterium
Lineage: Bacteria
Description: partial 16S ribosomal RNA
Rfam family: Bacterial small subunit ribosomal RNA
Source: RNAcentral